RNAcentral lists this transfer RNA (72 nucleotides) under Camelus bactrianus (Bactrian camel). It matches the Rfam family "tRNA". Rfam says of the family: Transfer RNA (tRNA) molecules are approximately 80 nucleotides in length. RNAcentral also lists the same sequence under 2 other names. The record is from Rfam by way of RNAcentral. Lineage: Eukaryota; Metazoa; Chordata; Mammalia; Artiodactyla; Camelidae.
AAGGGUAUAGCUCAGUGGCAGAGCAUGUGCUUAGCAGGUACAAGGUCCUGGGUUUAACCCCCAGGACCUCUG